RNAcentral lists this ribosomal RNA (824 nucleotides) under Gastrotheca sp. B WED-2014. RNAcentral describes it as "partial 16S ribosomal RNA". It matches the Rfam family "Bacterial large subunit ribosomal RNA", at positions 1490 to 2569 of the family's 2925-position model. The record is from RNAcentral. Lineage: Eukaryota; Metazoa; Chordata; Amphibia; Anura; Hemiphractidae.
UCCCCACACUCCCCCAGAAACCCUUCAACAGUACUGAGUAGUCCUAUACCCCUAUAGGAACUUUUAUGUUAAAACUAGUAACAAGAAGAAGACCUUCUCUUAAAUGCACCUGUAAAUCAGAAAGGACCCACCACUGAUAAUUAACGCCCAUGAUCCCAGAGUAAAAACUUAUCUAGAAAACUCUACUAGCCCCAACGUUAACCUAACACAAGAGCAUUUCAAGAAAGAUUAAAAGAAAAAGAAGGAACUCGGCAAAUGUUAACCCCGCCUGUUUACCAAAAACAUCGCCUCUUGAAAAACAUAAGAGGUCCAGCCUGCCCAGUGACAUUGUUUAACGGCCGCGGUAUCCUAACCGUGCGAAGGUAGCGUAAUCACUUGUCCUUUAAAUGAGGACUAGUAUGAAUGGCAUCACGAGGGUUAUUCUGUCUCCUUUCUCUAAUCAGUAAAACUAAUCUCCCCGUGAAGAAGCGGGGAUAUAUAUAUAAGACGAGAAGACCCUAUGGAGCUUUAAACAAAACAACAUUUGUUAAUUCUACCCCUAAAUUUCAGAAAAAUAAUUUUUAUUUUAACAUUGUGUUUGUUAGUUUUAGGUUGGGGUGACCGCGGAGAAAAAAGUAACCUCCACAUUGAAGGGGGCUUCCCCUAAACAGAAAGUCACAACUUUAAGUAUCAACAAAUUGACAUCAAUUGACCCAAUAUUUUGAUCAACGAAACAAGUUACCCUAGGGAUAACAGCGCAAUCCACUUCGAGAGUCCCUAUCGACAGGUGGGUUUACGACCUCGAUGUUGGAUCAGGGUAUCCUAGUGGUGCAGCCGCUACUAAA